This is a non-coding RNA of Cajanus cajan (pigeon pea), 474 nucleotides long. NCBI's taxonomy places the organism in Eukaryota, Viridiplantae, Streptophyta, Magnoliopsida, Fabales, Fabaceae. The record is from RefSeq and is a predicted model, not a curated record.
CCCCCCACUAUUACCAGCUUAAGGAUGUUGAAGACUCAUCUUCGAAGAAAUUGCCACGUGGACCAGGACGUGCUCAAGAGGAUAGAUAGCUGACACAUCUUUAUAUAUGCUUUGGCUGGUAAAAAAAUAAUGUACUGUAAAUAAUUUAUAACUGUAUAUUUAGAGUAUAGCAUCCUAUAUCCUUACCUGUUGAAGUAACUUUCGCAGUUGCAGUUGCAUGUGCAUCCUUUGGUUGAGUGUUGAUUUCACUUACCAACAAAUUUUGUCAUGUAGAUAUCAGUCUCAUUCUUUUGUAAUAAGUGACAUCUAAUUCAAUUUUAUUAGCACUGCUAGUUUAGUAUUGUAAAAAAUUUUUAGUGCAGUGCUUUAAUGUAGAAAAUAUUCAGAGCAACUUGUAUUUACUGCUCAUGGUUGUACAGAUUCAUUGAAUCUGGCAUAUGCCAUUCAAUAAUCUCUUAAAUUCGGUUUUUGGUA